Malurus melanocephalus (red-backed fairy wren) is the source of this 1363-nucleotide long non-coding RNA. RefSeq lists it as uncharacterized. The record is from RefSeq and is a predicted model, not a curated record. NCBI's taxonomy places the organism in Eukaryota, Metazoa, Chordata, Aves, Passeriformes, Maluridae. The transcript has 3 exons.
ACUCAGAGAAAAAAAUGUACUAGCAGGGUCCCAUGUCUAUAUGUCAAGAAGGUGAAGGGCUGUAAUAAUGGUCAGAGACCUCAAAAACUUGCCUCAGGGUGAGAAUCAAUGAAUGUCGCUGGAAAGCAACUGAUGAGACCAUUUUCCAAACAGAGUUCCAAGAAGGUUCUGAGAAACUACAGACUGCCCAGUGCUGCCCAGUGAGAAGCCAUCUCUCGCUGUUCUGUCACGGCCACAAUGAGUGCCCAAGAAGCAUCAGGGGAUGUGACUUUGUGCCUCUCCCUCCAUGGACUUCAUGCAGAGGCUGCUAAGGCUGUGUGUGAGGAGGCAUCCUGUUUGAAGAGGCGAGAAGGGAAAGAGGAAGAGAAAUAAGAAGAAUUGUUUUAACCAAAAGAGGAGGCAGGUGAACUUCAUGAAGCAUCAGMUUUGCAGGCCAUUCAUUUGAGUAGCUGGCUGCACCUCACCCAUGUCAGCACCAAUAAAAGUCCUUCUAAACUCAGCAUGAGUAACCAUGAGCCUUCUAAUUUUGCUUGAUUUUCACAGCUGGGAUGCUGAAGGCAUCAAUGAAAUAUUUAUUUUUGCCUUUGUUUUAAAAAGUCCCCGSAAGGGAAAUUUGCCCUUCACCUGCUUCCCACGUGGAAAGACCAGCUGCUUUUUCAGGCUCAGUUUCUAGACACAGAGCUGCCCUCAGCUGACAUUCUUCUAUAAGAAGAUUGCUAAUAAUGCUAGUCAUUUACAAUCUAUUUUCACUCUGGGAAUGGAAUUUCAAAGGAGAGRUCUUUAUGCCUGCUGCUUAAAAAGGAUUUGAGCACUUUGUGAGAGAGUGCACUUAAAACUCAUUUCAACAUCUUGUUCCCCAUUGCCUCCUAUCCUUGUAAUGCUUCCUGUGUCAUCUGUGGCUCCAUUCCCACUCCCCUAUAUGGAUUUUUUUCAGCUUUCAAAAUGUGACAUUGAUAAACAGGGCUGAUGCCAUCCUACUGAACUGUGUGGCCACCAUGGCCACGGGCAGUUGCAGCCGACACGCAUGCCCUGUUCAGGAAGGCCGUUCUCAGCGUGCCAAUGCAUUGGGGCCAAUCCCUUCAGCAGUGAAACUGAGGAGCAACACGACAGCUGUGUGAGAUCAUUGUGCUGCAGGAGCUUAUCCAGCGGGGCAAUGUUUUGGAGACUGGCACUGCAUGUUUUCCUGGCUAAACAGUCUGCUCUGCCUGGUUACAAUGUCAUUUUAUUUAUUGAACUCAGAGAGGAUUUCUUACUGUUUCUGUGAUUAAAGCUGAGAUGUGAUGGCCAGAAAAAUAUAUUUUCCUUGAACUCUAUGCAACAAAAAGCAAUAUUGUGGGGACAGUGUUGUCCCUACAGUUCACUU